This is a long non-coding RNA of Leptidea sinapis, 2163 nucleotides long. RefSeq lists it as uncharacterized. The transcript has 3 exons. Lineage: Eukaryota; Metazoa; Arthropoda; Insecta; Lepidoptera; Pieridae. The record is from RefSeq and is a predicted model, not a curated record.
AUCUAAGAGCUAGUGGGGGAAUAUUACAUUCUACUUGUAAUGAUAUAAUAGGAGUAGACCUAAAAGCGCCUGUUAUGAUCCUUAAGCAUUUAUUUUGUAUUUUUUAUAAUUUAUUCACUAAUGUAAUUACUCCACCAUAACAAAAGAAGGCAUACUGAAAAUGGCUACGGACUAAUGACUUAUAUAGUGUUAGCAAGAUGCAUGGGUCUGCACCCCAAUAUGUACCAGCUAAUGAUUUCAGAAUAUUGCAGGCCUUUAAUGCUCGAUUUUCUAAUAUUUCAACAUAUUUGUGCCAUCUAAAAUUACUUAAAAACGUAACUCCUAAAAACUUUAUUGAAUUAUCUAUUGAAAUUUCUUGAGUACCAUAAUAUAUUUUUGCAUCUCUUAUUCUUAUAGAAUGCUUUGAAAAUAUUACUACUUUGCUUUUGUCAAUACUGACCUCACGACUAAGAAAUUGAAAAUAAAGCUCAAAUUUUUUGAGUGCUACAUUAAGAUCUAACACAACAUUUGAUAAAUUAAGUCCUGAACUAUACACUACUAGAUCAUCAGCAAAUUGGUGGUUAGAAACUCUAUUACCCAAAACCAUAUUUAUUUGAUUUAUGUAGAUUAUAAAGAGCAAUGGACUCACAAUUCCGCCCUGCGAUACGCCUCUAUAUGAAUAUCGAGGACCUAUUAAUUAGUUAUUAACUCUAAGAUAAAGUUAACGACCACGCAAGAAAUUGAAUAUCCAACUAACUAUUUUUUCAGGGACAUUUAAGGAUAGAUGGAUGAUAAUUGUUCUAAAUCAACAUUAUUAAAUGCUCCUACAACAUCCAAAAAAACACCAGUCUUAAAAAACACCAAUAUCUUAUUGUCAAUCUGGGCACUAUGGAUGUCAAGACAUAAAUGCCGUAUACUCUCACAAGCAGAACGACCACAUCGAAAUCCAAAUUGAUUUUUAGAUUACUGUGUGGAGGAAUGUUGGAUGGAAUUGAAGAAGAUUCAGUUUCCGACACUACCAUGGAAAAUUUUGUGAUUGCAGGCAAGUGAUAGCUGCCCAAAGAGUCCUGAUGAACUUGCCAUUCACAGCACAGGAAUAAUGAAGAUGAUACUAUUGUUAGAUCUAGUCCAUUUGGUCUCCAAGAAUUAGUACCCACUGUAUCUGGUUGAUCAUUAUUAUAGAGCAUUAAGUCAUUAUCGUCCAUUACAUCCAUGAUGUCUCUACCUCUAGAAUUGGUUCUAUUACAACCCCAAAUGGUAUGGUGAGCAUUAAAAUCACCAGCAAUUAUUAGUGGUUUUGGAAUACUAUGCAACACUCUAUUAAAUUUAGAUUUAUCAAAGUUAGGUACACUGUUGCCAGGACUAUAAAAGCUAACAAUUGAGAUGUCUUUUUGUUUGUAUUUAAUUUUGAUUGCUACAUUUUGCAAGGAGUUAUCAGAAAAUGUUUGUAACUUUUGAAAAGAAAUGCCAUUUCUAACAAAAAUUGCUACACCAUUGUGAUCAUUACCACAAUCAUUUCUUAGUAUUGUAUAACCUCAGAUAGAAAACUGUAUAUUUGGUUUAAGCCAAGCUUCUGAUAUAAGUGCUAUGUGUAUGUCCUGCUCAUAAAGUAGGUUUUGAAGCUAAAGUCUGUUACUCAACAGACUUUGUGCAUUCCACUGUACUAUGUUAAGUUUGUGACAGUUGAAUGUGACGUUUUAUUUUAAAUUUGUAUGGUAUCUUUAAUAGCUGAACUAAUUGCGUGUGAGCUAAUGCUUUGAUUCUGUGUUUUAUUUAGUGUAAUGACUUUUAUUAUUGAUUCUGUGAUUAGGUUCAUUGCUGCUGGAUUGGAUAAAAUUAAAUUAAUGAUGUCUUGUGUGUUCUCUGUCUUAUUGAGUGAUGGAAAGUUUGUUGGAUGUUUAAAUAAAUCUGAUAAUGGUGUUUUACUUUUAUUUUUACUAUCCAAUAUCUUUUUUUGUUUUAUAGGGCAUUGACCUGAUACUGCAAGAUGGUUACCUUUACAGUGCACACAUACUGCUUUGUCAAUAGAAUUUAGCCAAGUGGUCAAACCUAAGGCAUCGGAAACACUGCUUAACUGGCGGCACAUAAGGUCGCACUGGUAGACGCCACAUCUUUAAGUGAACGUAAUCUGGGAGUGAAGUAGAUGACGCAAAAGUAAUAAUGACUGCCUGUGUAGGUUGUAAU